UGCUGCAUGGCUGUCGUCAGCUCGUGUCGUGAGAUGUUCGGUUAGUCCGCUAACGAGCGCAACCCUCGCUGUGUGUUAUAUGUGUCACACGGGACUGCCGGUCUUAAGCCGGAGGAAGGUGGGGAUGAUGUCAAGUCAGCAUGGCCUUUAUAUCCUGGGCUACACACACGCUACAAUAGCCAACACAAUAGGUUGCUAAGCCGCGAGGUGGCGCCAAUCCAUAAAGUUGGUCUCAGUUCAGAUUGUAGGCUGCAACCCGCCUGCAUGAAGAUGGAGUUGCUAGUAACCGCAGGUCAGCUAUACUGCGGUGAAUACGUUCCCGGGGCUU
Molecule: ribosomal RNA, 328 nt
Filed under: uncultured Leptolinea sp.
Lineage: Bacteria; Bacillati; Chloroflexota; Anaerolineae; Anaerolineales; Anaerolineaceae
Description: bacterial SSU rRNA
Rfam family: Bacterial small subunit ribosomal RNA
Source: RNAcentral